Molecule: long non-coding RNA, 771 nt
Organism: Malaclemys terrapin pileata
Lineage: Eukaryota; Metazoa; Chordata; Testudines; Emydidae
Exons: 3
Source: RefSeq, a predicted model, not a curated record
GUUUGUCUGGGUCAGUUUCACUUUUGACCGGAGUGGGAAAGCGCCAGAAUUCAGCCUCUUAUUAAGUAACCCUUACUGUGCAAAAUUAGCUCUUCCGGAAUGUGAGUGGGAUACAAGAGGAGAGGAGAGAAGAGAAGAGAGAAACUAAGGAAAGGUACAGACUUUGGUUGGAGGCAGUAAGUCUGCAUGUCUGAAUAUAGAGAGCUAUUUCGCCCAGACCCUAACAUUUAUACCAACACUAAUAACUUCUGUUACACCAUCACUGGUUCUAAUACUCACCCAUGCAUUGAUGAUGAAGGAGGCCCACAACCUACCAAGAGAAAAUAGACUUCUAUAUUCUUGAGUUAAGGAGCAAAUCAAAAAUGUCAGAAACAUGCUGGAUGUGCUGGCCACCAGAGUGGAUUCAAGAGUGGCAGGAAUUGUUCCAAGCCUAGUGAGUCCAGACAUCAAGGAAGAUGGCAAGCUGACUGGACUGGAGAGUGCCUGGAAGGACAGCACUGGUGCCUUUGGAAGAGCAGGAAAAUAACCAUAAAAAAGGACUAUUGUCAUCCUCUAUCACAGUGAACUCGGACCCAACUUUCCAGGACCUCAUUGCCACUUCUAUGACUCCAACAUGAUGUCUUCAAAGUCUUGAGCAACAUUCUUAUUUUUAAGUAAGCACUAUAGUAGGCCUGAAGGCUGAUCCUGCACCAUUGAAGUCAAUGGGAGUUUUUGCCAUUGACUUCAAUGAGUGCAGGAUCAAGCCUUUCAACAUUGGAGAUAGGAGAAAUA